Long non-coding RNA from Mastomys coucha (southern multimammate mouse), 493 nucleotides. RefSeq lists it as uncharacterized. NCBI's taxonomy places the organism in Eukaryota, Metazoa, Chordata, Mammalia, Rodentia, Muridae. The record is from RefSeq and is a predicted model, not a curated record. The transcript is spliced from 3 exons.
CUGUGAUCAGAGACUGAGUUUCAGCCAGUGGUCAAGCAUCAGGCUCCAUCUAGAAGGAGAUUGCCAGGAGUCACCUGAAAUCCCUAAAUUUGUGGCUGAGCCAGGCGCCAGGCUCCCAAGAACCUCACCUGUGACCCUGGACGUCCUCACAGGUUAAAGGGUCUCAGGGACCCAGAGGCCGGCAAUGCAGCUAUAGUGGACCAGAAAAACCCUUUUCCCCAGAGGAGAGGUCAUAAGUGGCAGCUGAUCCAGGGUCUCUGGUCUGACAGCACACUGGAUUUCCCCUGUCUGUUCAGAUAUUCAAGAAAAGGAAUUGCAUGCUGCUCUCUUCAUAUAUGUCUUUAGAUACCUUUAGAUUUCCAAGAGGCAGAGAAACUGUUGUUGAUCGACAAUGUGACUUUCAUCUACAAAGAGGCCCCCGGACUCUUUUUUGGGGGGUAGGAAUUCACUGUCUUCAUAUUUUUACAUAAAAUAAAAACUCUGUUUAAAGAAA